UGGAAACCAUGACUUUCAGUUUUGCUCUGUGACUGGUACUGUAACAUUUUUCCUGCUAUUAUGAAGAGGAUUAGAGACCUUGUAACAGCUGCUUUGAGUGCAAUAGACAGGGCUUGUCUGCGAGUCGCCUCUUUCGUUCCCAGCCCAAGAGCUGGUAUCUUCUCUUUCGCCGUGCAGUGUGCCGGACAGGCUCCCUGGAUCUCCUGCCGCAGGUCCAGUUCAGGCCGAGCAGCGGGUCAGAACUCGCUGCUGCGCCGUGCUGCUCCUUUCUCAGGAGAGCGUGCGGGAGGUGUAACCGGGAGCUCUGCCCUCAGCCUGUGGUAAUAACAUCAGGUGACUCUGCUGGCAUCUGGACUGACAGCAUAGUCCAGCUUCUUACCACAUCACCAGCGUUCCCAGAAGACUUCAGGGACAUAAACACGCGCCCGCGAGCUGGGUGAUGAUGUAAGUUUUAGAUGGACACUUGUUUUUUUCUGUGCAGUUAGCUCCUUCCAGCUGGUAAUAAGAAUUUUUUUUUGUGUGGCCGCUCGCUCAGGUCUGGUGCCGGUGGGUUGUGGGUCUGUCCUGUCCUGUCCUGUUGCCUCCCCCUCCCUUCCAAAUUUUCCUUUCAUGUUUGUUAUCUGAUCCUUUAUUUUUUUUCCUUUUCGUGCUCUAUCUGACACUUAGUGAAGUAUCUCUCCAGGCCUGUUCAGUAUACGGUAUCUGGAGCUCCUUCACAGGAAAGCUCUGUCGAUCGUCUUAGUUUUGCAGCAAGGAACCCUUGAGGCCACAAGGUGCACCUGCAGGGUCAGAAGACAGGGGGCGCUGCUUGGCAGCAGGGAUGGGCAGUGCAGG
Molecule: long non-coding RNA, 834 nt
Filed under: Lepisosteus oculatus (spotted gar)
Lineage: Eukaryota; Metazoa; Chordata; Actinopteri; Semionotiformes; Lepisosteidae
Description: lncRNA (ENSLOCG00000021681.1)
Source: RNAcentral